Hyalella azteca is the source of this 337-nucleotide long non-coding RNA. RefSeq lists it as uncharacterized. Lineage: Eukaryota; Metazoa; Arthropoda; Malacostraca; Amphipoda; Hyalellidae. The record is from RefSeq and is a predicted model, not a curated record. The transcript has 3 exons.
GCACUGUAUGGUCCAAUGGUUGUUGGUGUCGUUGCAUUUUAUUUCAAGUGUAUAAGAAGUGAGAGUUUAAAUAACCUUGUAAGAUCGUGUACUUGCUGUCCUGACCACACGCAGAAUAUCUUGGCCACUCUCAGUUCCCUGAAGUCCAUGUGCACAGAUACAAAUAUGGUGGUCAACGAACUACGUGGUAGGCUUCCUGCCAAUGCACAACCUUUGGUUUGGCCUAACCGCGGUCCUGCGCAUGGACUGUUGACGUCAAAAAACAAAGGAAAGCUUCAAAAAUCACGCAGCAUACGAGAGGAUAAUGGUCGCUCUGAAGCAAACGGGAUUCGACAGC